Molecule: long non-coding RNA, 1723 nt
Filed under: Sparus aurata (gilthead seabream)
Lineage: Eukaryota; Metazoa; Chordata; Actinopteri; Spariformes; Sparidae
Description: lncRNA (ENSSAUG00010014784.1)
Source: RNAcentral
UUAUCAUGUCAUGAACUAUUUUCUUGUUAUGCUAUCACAUGAACCAAUCUUAACAAGCGAGCUGGCUCAUAUACUGUGUAGGCAGCAUGGUAAGAGUUGUGUUUUUUUUUAGGUUCCAGCAAAACAACCUCAAAAUGUCUGUGCAUGUUGCUGCACACUGUCAUGUCUUUGCGUUCUUUUAUUUCCAACUUACACAUUGUUGAAGGUAUAAUAACUACAGUUCAUCAUGUUCUGUCUUUUUAACUAAUCAUGUUGUGAGGGUUUUUUCAUAAUUUUUGUAAUCAAUUUGUACAACUGUAAUUGAUAUAAUAGACAUGGAACAGGUUAAUUAAUGAAAAAUGUAUUUCAUCACCUCCCAACAGAAGUGCAUGUUCAAAAGACUCCUGUAGCUGCACCAGGCCAUGUCAGACUGACUUGUAACACCAGCUGUCCUCAGACUGAUCUUCAGACUGCCUUAAGAGUGUACAGGAGCAGUAUCUCAGAGGGACAGUAUGGGACAAUAAAGGAUGUAUUUCCCCACAUAUCUAAUGAAAACUUCUCCUGUGCUGUAAAAGGCCUCAAACAUCUACACUCUGCUGCAGUCUGUGCUGAGGAUAAGAACUGUUGGAGUGUGAAUUAUGUCAGCAGGAGAAUCUGUGCUGCUCACGGCUCCUCAGUGGACAUUUCAAGUGAAUAUUCUCAUCCUGACAACCAGCAGCCCCAGUCUAAAUUAUGGUAUAAAAUAAUCAGAAGUGGUAAGAAGGAUCCUGAAAAGCUGAGUGAGGUUGCAGGUCGCGUUGAGUACCAUGGAAACAUGAACAAUCAUCACACCCUGUCAAUUAAAGACCUGACGAGGAAUGACUCAGCAGAAUACAAAUUCAAGAUCCAGACACAAGACGGAUGGAAACAGUCAGAUUUUUCUGGAGUGACGUUGGUUGUAACAGGUAAUUCUUCAGAUUGAAUACAUUAUUUUUGAAUAGUGAAUUAUUGAUUCCAAACCAUGUGAUGUACUCUCAGCAGUCAGCACACUGAAAGGCAGGUUCAAUGCUCCUUUAACUAUGGCUUGUUUUAGAAGACACUGACAAACAAUUUAUUUUGAUGAAUAGUUAUGAGACCUUGUGAGAUAGUAUGUCUCUUUCAUAUUUGCUGAUCAAACUAUCUUUCAGGUCUUAAAGUGACGUUCACUCCCUCUGCAGUGGUGACAGAGGGUCAGAGAGUCACACUGACCUGCAACACCAGCUGUCCUCUGAACACAGACUACAUCUGGACCUUCAACAGUCGACCUCUGAACCUGCCAGAGAGCCAAAACAAACACCUGGUUCUAGACCCAGUCAGCAGUCAGCAUGAAGGAAGGUACUCCUGUAUGGUCAAAACUGGCAGAAGAACCAUUGGCUCAAGUGAAAAAACUCUGACUGUCCAAAAUGUUGAACAGGAACAAACAUCAGCAGCAGCUGCAGGAGUGUGUGCUGCUCUCCUGGUUUUAAUACUUCUCGCUGUCUUUUGCUGGAUUAGGUAAGCAACACUGAUCUCUGUUUCUAAGCAGUGACACACUAACAUGGUAUCACCAAUUAAUUCUUAUAUUCACUAAUGUCACCAACAAGAAAAAAGAAGACACCCAGCCAAUCUCCACGGAGUGAAACCUCAAACAACUUGGAGCAGGUAAAGAAAAUAAUUUGAACAAUUCUGCUACAUUAAUAGAGAAACUGUGGAAAGAAUUUCUCUUUCAUCUGAGCCAGAACAGCAG